Molecule: ribosomal RNA, 406 nt
Filed under: uncultured bacterium
Lineage: Bacteria
Description: partial 16S ribosomal RNA
Rfam family: Bacterial small subunit ribosomal RNA
Source: RNAcentral
AUUGAACGCUGGCGGCAGGCUUAACACAUGCAAGUCGAGCGAGCGGCGGACGGGUGAGUAAUGUCUGGGAAACUGCCUGAUGGAGGGGGAUAACUACUGGAAACGGUAGCUAAUACCGCAUACCAUCAGAUGUGCCCAGAUGGGAUUAGAUAGUUGUGGGGGUAAUGGAUCACCUAGGCGACGAUCCCUAGCUGGUCUGAGAGGAUGACCAGCCACACUGGAACUGAGACACUGUCCAGACUCCUACGGUAGGCAGCAGGGGGGAAUAUUGCACAAUGGGCGCAAGCCUGAUGCAGCCAUGCCGCGUGUGUGAAGAAGGCCUUCGGGUUGUAAAGCACUUUCAGCGAGGAGGCGUUACUCGCAGAAGAAGCACCGGCUAACUCCGUGCCAGCCGCCGCGGUAAUUC